AAAGCCCCGGGCUCAACCUGGGAACGUGCAUCCAAAACGUGGCGAGCCUAGAGUAUGGCAGAGGGUGGUGGAAUCUCCUGUGUAGCGGUGAAAUGCGUAGAUAUAGGAAGGAUCACCAGUGGCGAAGGCGACCACCUGGGCUAAUACUGACACUGAGGUGCGAAAGCGUGGGGAGCAAACAGGAUCAGAUACCCUGGUAGUCCACGCCGUAAACGAUGUCGACUCGCCGUUGGGAUCGCUGAGAUCUUAGUGGCGCAGCUAACGCAUAAAGUUGACCGCCUGGGGAGUACGGCCGCAAGGUUUAGACUCAAAUGAAUGCGAC
This 322-nucleotide ribosomal RNA is filed under the name iodate-reducing bacterium M3-1. RNAcentral describes it as "bacterial SSU rRNA". It matches the Rfam family "Bacterial small subunit ribosomal RNA", at positions 597 to 914 of the family's 1533-position model. The record is from RNAcentral.